UUGGAGGGCAAGUCUGGUGCCAGCAGCCGCGGUAAUUCCAGCUCCAAUAGCGUAUAUUAAAGUUGUUGCAGUUAAAAAGCUCGUAGUUGAAUUUCGGGAUCAAUAUUUCGGUCAUGCCGUUGGUACGCACUGUUAUCAUUGAUUUCUCACCUUCUAAAGAACCGUGAUGCCAUUAAUUUGGUGUUACGGGGAAUUAGGACUGUUACCUUGAAAAAAUUAGAGUGUUUAAAGCUGGCUCACGCUUGAAUACAUUAGCAUGGAAUAAUGAAAUAGGACAUCCGAUUCUAUUUUGUUGGUUUCUAGGAUCGAUGUAAUGAUUAAUAGGGAUAGUUGGGGGCAUUAGUAUUCAAUUGUCAGAGGUGAAAUUCUUGGAUUUAUUGAAGACUAACUACUGCGAAAGCAUUUGCCAAGGAUGUUUUCAUUAAUCAAGAACGAAAGUUAGGGGAUCGAAGACGAUCAGAUACCGUCGUAGUCUUAACCAUAAACUAUGCCGACUAGGGAUCGGAUGAUGUUAAUUUUUUAAUGACUCAUUCGGCGCCUUACGGGAAAC
This 550-nucleotide ribosomal RNA is filed under the name Funneliformis mosseae. RNAcentral describes it as "SSU rRNA". It matches the Rfam family "Eukaryotic small subunit ribosomal RNA", at positions 548 to 1098 of the family's 1831-position model. Lineage: Eukaryota; Fungi; Glomeromycota; Glomeromycetes; Glomerales; Glomeraceae. The record is from RNAcentral.